UACGUAGGGGGCAAGCGUUGUCCGGAUUUAUUGGGCGUAAAGCGCGUGUAGGCGGCCAGGUAGGUCCGCUGUGAAAACCCGAGGCUCAACCUCGGGACGUCGGCGGAAACCAUCUGGCUAGAGUCCGGAAGGGGAGAGUGGAAUUCCCGGUGUAGCGGUGAAAUGCGCAGAUAUCGGGAAGAACACCUGUGGCGAAGGCGGCCCCCUGGGCCGGCCCUGACGCUGAGACGCGAAGGCGUGGGGAGCGAACAGG
RNAcentral lists this ribosomal RNA (253 nucleotides) under uncultured bacterium. RNAcentral describes it as "partial 16S ribosomal RNA". It matches the Rfam family "Bacterial small subunit ribosomal RNA", at positions 524 to 776 of the family's 1533-position model. The record is from RNAcentral.